RNAcentral lists this ribosomal RNA (603 nucleotides) under uncultured marine bacterium. RNAcentral describes it as "bacterial SSU rRNA". It matches the Rfam family "Bacterial small subunit ribosomal RNA", at positions 47 to 697 of the family's 1533-position model. The record is from RNAcentral.
CCUAACACAUGCAAGUCGAGCGAACCCCUCGGGGUUAGCGGCGGACGGGUUAGUAACGCGUGGGAACGUGCCCAAGGGUACGGAAUAGCAUCGGGAAACUGGUGGUAAUACCGUAUGUGCCCUUCGGGGGAAAGAAUUUCGCCUUUGGAUCGGCCCGCGUAAGAUUAGGUAGUUGGUGAGAUAACGGCUCACCAAGCCUACGAUCUUUAUCUGGUUUGAGAGGAUGAUCAGAAACACUGGGACUGAGACACGGCCCAGACUCCUACGGGAGGCAGCAGUGGGGAAUCUUGGACAAUGGGCGCAAGCCUGAUCCAGCCAUGCCGCGUGAGUGAAGAAGGCCUUAGGGUUGUAAAGCUCUUUCAGGGGUGAGGAUUAUGACAGUAACCCCAGAAGAAGCACCGGCUAACUUCGUGCCAGCAGCCGCGGUAAUACGAAGGGUGCAAGCGUUGUUCGGAAUCACUGGGCGUAAAGGGCGUGUAGGCGGAUGGACAAGUUAGAGGUGAAAGCCCCGGGCUCAACCUGGGAACUGCCUUUAAAACUGUUCAUCUAGAAUCCGGGAGGGGAGUGUGGAAUUCCUAGUGUAGAGGUGAAAUUCGUAGAUAU